GGGGGGUAUGGCGGAAUUGGUAGACGCUGUGGACUU
RNAcentral lists this transfer RNA (36 nucleotides) under Jensenia decipiens. RNAcentral's name for it is "partial tRNA-Leu". Lineage: Eukaryota; Viridiplantae; Streptophyta; Jungermanniopsida; Pallaviciniales; Pallaviciniaceae. The record is from RNAcentral.